UCAAUGUAUUAGUGAACCUGAAGGGAGUGGAAAAAAGAAGAAAAGCAAGUAGCCACUCCUCGUCCUACUUGCUCUUGGGUGAACUUCAGAUGACAUGCUUAUUUGACCGUGACUUUAUUAAAGAGCAUAGUACACCAGUUAGUUACUCUCGUCCUACUUGCUCUUGCGUGCACUUCCUGAAUCUUCAGGGUGAAAGCUGCCACAAAGGCAGCAUCAGAUGCAUUGGAAGCUGAUGGGUCCUGGGGAGAAGGUACAGUACGCUACUCGUGCCCGUGAAGUGUGGGAUAAGUACCUUAGCAGGUUCAACUUUAUUGACUUUCAGUUGACGCUUCCACUUCUCUAUAUGUGAAUUUGUCAUCUGCUUCAGGUAUGUUCUCUGUAACAUCUGUUGAUAAGAUUACCAUGCUUAAGAUCAUGAUAUGCAUUAAGUUUAUGUGAUAGCAUGAACACCUGUGCUUAAAGCUUAUGUUUACAAGUAUUCCGUUAGUUAAUUCUGAUCCAUUGAUGACAUUCGUUCCUUUGUCAUUAACUCUGAUCAUGUCCGUGAUAUUCUUAGGUGGUUUUGGAGUUGUUUGGUGUGACUCUAAUAUGAUGCUAAAAGCUCUAAAAACACGUUAACAAUCAGUCUAUUUAUACAUUGCACCAAAAAAAGAAAUCAUAAUAAAAUCCUAACUUGUUCAUCAAAUUAUAAAUAGAAAGCUUAAACAUAUAUAUAACAAAAGAUAAAAAAA
This is a long non-coding RNA of Solanum stenotomum, 731 nucleotides long. RefSeq lists it as uncharacterized. The transcript has 3 exons. The record is from RefSeq and is a predicted model, not a curated record. NCBI's taxonomy places the organism in Eukaryota, Viridiplantae, Streptophyta, Magnoliopsida, Solanales, Solanaceae.